UACGAAGGGGGCUAGCGUUGCUCGGAAUUACUGGGCGUAAAGCGCACGUAGGCGGCUUUCUAAGUCGGGGGUGAAAUCCUGGAGCUCAACUCCAGAACUGCCUUCGAUACUGGAGAGCUCGAGUCCGGGAGAGGUGAGUGGAACUCCGAGUGUAGAGGUGAAAUUCGUAGAUAUUCGGAAGAACACCAGUGGCGAAGGCGGCUCACUGGCCCGGUACUGACGCUGAGGUGCGAAAGCGUGGGGAGCAAACAGG
This 253-nucleotide ribosomal RNA is filed under the name uncultured bacterium. RNAcentral describes it as "partial 16S ribosomal RNA". It matches the Rfam family "Bacterial small subunit ribosomal RNA", at positions 524 to 776 of the family's 1533-position model. The record is from RNAcentral.